CGACUACUUUUCAAAUAUUACACUGUAGCUUGGUGACUAUUAAUUUUGUUGGAACGAUUGGUAAAGAUGCCCGGUUACUUCAGCAUUUACAUGGUUCGAGCCCAACACGUUUAUUUUUCCUGGUUUAUCUCUUGCUGUAUAGUUAAUGUCUUGUCCACCUUUUACCAUUUCCAUAAAGCUAUUAUUGGAUUUAAAUGUACGAUGUUUAAGGUUUUACACACAUAUUAAAAAAUAAUAAAUAUAUUAUUUUAAUUAUUACUGUUUGGUUAUAUUAAUAAAGUUUCACCAUUCAUAAUUUUACUUUUUAAUUUAUUUUUAAAUUGUAAAAAUAAGUACAUUAAUUAUACCUCAAAACAUCAUACAUUUGUAUACAAAAUAAAAAGAUAGAACAUCGUACAUUCGUAUCCGGAGGGAGUAUUAGUGAGAUUAUUCUACCUUUUGUUUUAUUGUUAAUAUUAUUAUUUUUUCUUGUUAGCAUAUCUUUUCUUCUCUUAAUUUGUCUUUUCAUCAUUCUUUCUAUUAUAAUUUAUAUUUUAUCUUAAAAUUUUCAUUUUUAAGUCCAUUCUUUUACUAGUUAGCAAUUGCUAAUAAAGAAAUAAAACUAAUUAAUCCACUCAUUUUAUUUAAUAUUUUAGAGUUUAGACCUUAUGAUAUAAUGACUACAAACAAGUUGUGUGUGAUAUCGAUAUACUGUUAUAUAUGUGUAAACUUGAAGACUAUUUUUUUAUAAGUAUUCAAGUUAAUUUUAACUGCGACAAUAUGUUAUUGUGAUUAUACAUUUGUAAAAAAAAAUCUUAUAUAAUCUGUUCUGAGUUGAACAAAAUUAAAUUUGCUAAUAGUCUAUAUUUAAAUUUUAAUGAUUACUCAUUUACGAUAGUUUUUAAAUAGAUUGUUAUUUAUUUUAAAUUAAUUAUUUAUAUUAUUUAAUAUAUAUAUAUAUAUAUAUAUAUUUAUUUAUUUAUUAUGUGCCCCCGUCAAAUAAUUGGUAUGGAUCCGCCACUGAACGAACACAACUAUAUUCGAAGAGGUUUUCAUUGACUGAAUUUGGCUUGGGCAGCAAAGAAACCCGAAUAACUGAACAUGAACCAAACCGAAAUAACGGAAACUGAAAUCAGACCGAACCCCUCAAAUACCCAAAUGGUUUUUAUAUUUAUAUAUUUGAAAUAACUGAAAUGAACCAAGAACGGACCGUUCUUUCCGAACAUAUAAAGAUAUUAAUUAUAUAUACAUAUAACUAAAUAUAAUAUUUGAAAAAACUAAAUUAUUAUAAAAUAUCUAAACUAUCCAAAUAUUUUUUUAUCUAAAAUAACUCGAAAUAUCCUAAAUUUUAUAUAAAUGCUCCUAACUAUUCGAUAUUUUAUCUAAAAUAUCUGAUAUUUAACCUAGAUUACCCGAACUACUUGAAAGUCACCGAACCAGAACUGAAACAAAAUAAGAACCAAAAAUAUCCGGGUAUUUCGGCUCCUAAUUUUACUAUCCAAACCAAACAAAAACCCGAAACUUUCCGAACCAAGCCCGAACUAAAAAUUGUUAGGUAGUAAAUGAAUUAUUUCGCUUUUACCCGAAUUAUCCAAUAUUUGAAAUACUCGAGCCAAACCGAACCAAUAUCCGAAAUGUUCAUAUCUUAGAUUGAAUAAACUCGUUAUCUUAGAUAUGACCAUGCAUGCGUUUGAUGUAUGAAUUAACUAAUAAAUAAUUAUGAGUUUUUAUACGCCAUGCGUAAAAAUAAUAAUGUUAAAUAUAAUGUUUGUAUUUAAAAACUGAUUUUGAUUUGAACAUUAGUAUUUUUUUAUUUUAAUUUUAGAAGUUUGAAAAGAUUUCUAGUUUCAUUUAUUUUGAUUUGGUUAAAGAAUGCAACUCAAAGCACAAAAUAUCCUUUUCCUUAAAGCCUAAAAAUAAGAGUGAUCAGGGCAAAGAAAAGAUUAUCUUCCAUUAAAAGGUUGCGACUAAACAACGAUCAACACACGUAAUCUUUUAUACGUGUCGAACUAUUAUUGGCUAUUUCUACACCGUCAUAGCUUUCUCGUGACCUAGGCUGCCUCAUCCUCUUUUAUAAAUCAAACCCAAAACAUCUCUUCUCCUUCUCAAAUCGAAAUACAAUCUUCUCAAUUCUCUCUCUCGAAUUACGAUCAAGAUGCAGAUCUUCGUUAAGACACUCACGGGAAAGACGAUCACCCUUGAGGUGGAAAGCCCUGACACGAUCGACAAUGUUAAAGCCAAGAUUCAAGACAAGGAGGGUAUUCCUCCGGAUCAGCAGAGGCUUAUCUUCGCCGGAAAGCAGCUCGAGGACGGGAGAACCCUAGCUGAUUACAACAUCCAGAAGGAGUCGACUCUACAUCUCGUCCUCAGGCUACGUGGUGGCAUGCAGAUUUUUGUCAAGACCUAAACGGGAAAGACGAUCACACUCGAGGUGGAGAACUCCGACACCAUCGAUAACGUCAAGGCCAAGAUACAAGACAAGGAGGGAAUCCCGCCUGACCAGCAGCGUUUGAUCUUUGCCGGCAAGCAGCUUGAGGAUGGUCGUACAUUGGCCGAUUACAACAUUCAGAAGGAGUCUACUCUUCAUCUCGUGUUACGUCUGCGUGGAGGCAUGCAAAUCUUUGUCAAGACGUUGACUGGUAAGACCAUCACACUGGAGGUCGAGAGCUCCGACACGAUUGAUAACGUCAAGGCCAAGAUCCAAGACAAGGAAGGCAUCCCUCCAGACCAGCAGCGUCUCAUCUUCGCUGGAAAGCAGCUUGAGGAUGGUCGCACCCUAGCCGACUACAACAUCCAGAAGGAGUCUACCCUUCACUUGGUGUUGCGUCUCCGUGGUGGCUUUUAAAGUCUCUCGUUCUGUGUCUGCCUUUUUUAGUCUCGUUUUCUUGAAAACUUAUCAUGGUUUUAUAAAGCCUCUUAAAUAAUUGAUCCCUCUUUCUCACUUAUCAUGGUUUGGUGUGUGUUUGAGGCAUUAUAAAGCCUCUUAAAUAAUUGAUCUCUCUCUUUCUCUUAUCA
Brassica napus (rape) is the source of this 2994-nucleotide long non-coding RNA. RefSeq lists it as uncharacterized. The record is from RefSeq and is a predicted model, not a curated record. The transcript is spliced from 2 exons. Lineage: Eukaryota; Viridiplantae; Streptophyta; Magnoliopsida; Brassicales; Brassicaceae.